This 585-nucleotide ribosomal RNA is filed under the name uncultured bacterium. Its description in RNAcentral is "bacterial SSU rRNA". It matches the Rfam family "Bacterial small subunit ribosomal RNA", at positions 110 to 713 of the family's 1533-position model. The record is from RNAcentral.
GUAACGCGUGGGUAACCUACCUCGUACAGGGGGACAACAGAUGGAAACGUCUGCUAAUACCGCAUAAGCGCACAGUAUCGCAUGAUACAGUGUGAAAAGCCGAGACGGUACGAGAUGGGCCCGCGUCUGAUUAGCUAGUUGGUAAGGUAGAGGCUUACCAAGGCGACGAUCAGUAGCCGACUUGAGAGAGUGACCGGCCACAUUGGGACUGAGACACGGCCCAAACUCCUACGGGAGGCAGCAGUGGGGGAUAUUGCACAAUGGGGGAAACCCUGAUGCAGCGACGCCGCGUGAAGGAAGAAGUAUUUCGGUAUGUAAACUUCUAUCAGCAGGGAAGAAAAUGACGGUACCUGACUAAGAAGCCCCGGCUAACUAUGUGCCAGCAGCCGCGGUAAUACAUAGGGGGCAAGCGUUAUCCGGAAUGACUGGGUGUAAAGGGAGCGUAGGCGGAAUGGCAAGUCUGAUGUGAAACCCCGGGGCUUCACCCCGGGCCUGCAUUGGAAACUGUUGUUCUAGAGAGCAGGAGAGGUAAGCGGAAUUCCUGGUGUAGCGGUGAAAUGCGUAGAUAUCAGGAGGAACACCGGU